RNAcentral lists this ribosomal RNA (445 nucleotides) under uncultured bacterium. RNAcentral's name for it is "bacterial SSU rRNA". It matches the Rfam family "Bacterial small subunit ribosomal RNA", at positions 28 to 493 of the family's 1533-position model. The record is from RNAcentral.
GAUGAACGCUGGCGGCGCGCCUAACACAUGCAAGUCGAACGGCACCCCUCUCCGGAGGGAAGCGAGUGGCGAACGGCUGAGUAACACGUGGAGAACCUGCCCCCUCCCCCGGGAUAGCCGCCCGAAAGGACGGGUAAUACCGGAUACCCCCGGGCGCCGCAUGGCGCCCGGGCUAAAGCCCCGACGGGAGGGGAUGGCUCCGCGGCCCAUCAGGUAGACGGCGGGGUGACGGCCCACCGUGCCGACAACGGGUAGCCGGGUUGAGAGACCGACCGGCCAGAUUGGGACUGAGACACGGCCCAGACUCCUACGGGAGGCAGCAGUGGGGAAUCUUGCGCAAUGGGGGGAACCCUGACGCAGCGACGCCGCGUGCGGGACGGAGGCCUUCGGGUCGUAAACCGCUUUCAGCAGGGAAGAGUCAAGACUGUACCUGCAGAAGAAGCCC